ACCUGAUAUCCACGUUGAUUCCACGUGGUUUUAGGCACGUGGAAAACCUGUUCUAAAUUAAUGUGGAAUCCACAUGGAGUUUUAGUUCUACAUUAUUCUUCGUGCAUUUCCACGUGGAUAUCACGUGGAAAAUAAUUUCGUACCACCUAUUGAUGGUUGCUUGAUCUAAUUUUGAAUGCAUAUUUUGUAUGUUUUUACAUAAAUGUGACAAUCAUUAAUUAACAUUAAACACACUCUAAAAUAAAAUGACGCAUAUGACGCGUCCAAUGUGUUCUAAAGUUGAACACAUGAGCCAAAAUGUGUUCUAAAAUGGCAUUUUCAAAAUGUGUUACUGAUCGCCUAAAUGCCACAUCUGACUACAACGUACACUGGAUUUGCAAACUAAAAAGAAGUUUAGAACACCGAUGUGCUAUCAGAGGCGACACAUAGGCGUCGCUGCGCAGAGUGACUUUGCAGCCUAGCGAGUGGUACUGAGCAUGCGCAGUGAUCAGCCUUUCCUGGAUACCGUUUUUUUAAGUGGAAGCGCGAAACAUUUAUAGCUAAUAAAAAGAAAUUAGAAACUUCGAAAUUUGUUUAAAUUUGUGGUCUGCUGAAGUUACAAAGUACCCGUGGCAAUUGUGUUUCAUACAGAGAACAUUUGUGUGUGAUGUUACAGGGUGAGCACUGAGAUUCCUUACCAAUUCACUUAUGUUUCAACUAAACAUGAAGGGAUCACGAGGGGAUAAAACAUCAUUUGACAGCGCUGUGCAAAUUAAUAACUGACAGUGUAGUAAAGGCGCAUGAUGUUACAGAAGCCUUUGCCCUCAGCACCAUUGUCAAUCGGUUACGAAAUGCACCUAAGAGAAAAGAAAGGCUGGAUGCAGUGUCAUUUAUUAAGUGUUAAGUAAAUGUUUUUGUAAUUUUGUUUCUUUUGCUGUUUGAGACAGUUUUCUAUCUUCUCUUAGAUGUUUUGUUGGUUUAAUUAGUCUUUUAGUAUUCACAUUUUUAUGGUAUUUUAGUAUUAUGCACUACACCCAGUUUUUAUGUGCAUUUUGUAUUGUUUGUUUUGAAAUAUGAAUAAAUUAUUGGUUAUUACAACUUUUAUGUAAUUUGUGUCUGCUUUACACUUGAUGUUGUAGACAUUUUAAACUUUGCAGAAUUUACGUUGAACACAACACGUAUUUUCCAUGGGCUUAUAUCCAUGUCUUUUCCAAGUGGUAAAAAACACGUGGAUUCCAUGUGUCAAAUCCACGUGGAAUUGGACUUGCCUUUUACGCCUAAAUUACCUGUC
This is a long non-coding RNA of Clarias gariepinus (North African catfish), 1270 nucleotides long. RefSeq lists it as uncharacterized. The record is from RefSeq and is a predicted model, not a curated record. Lineage: Eukaryota; Metazoa; Chordata; Actinopteri; Siluriformes; Clariidae. The transcript is spliced from 3 exons.